NNNNUGAAAAACAAUAUUUGAGUGCCUAGAUCAUGCUGGCGUCUCCGAAGCCGCCUGCAGCGAGCGCGUCUGACCUCAGCCCCCUCCUUCGCGCGGUCCCCGGGGGCGCGGGAGGAAGCGAGCGCCGCGGAGCCGUGCCCAGGGGCCGUCUGGUUCCCACACGCCGCGGCCAGGCCGCUCGCCCGCGCCUGGGAACGUGCGGCCCCAGCCGGCCACAGCCCCGGGCUGCCGCCGAGCGAGCCAGGGGGCCGAGCUGGGGGGGCCGAGUGCAGCAUCGCCGGGCACGGUGCGCCCAUGGCACCCUCUGCGCCACAGCCCCCAGCUGGGUGCAGGGCUGUGAUGGGAGCGGGGCGGUGGGUGCCCAUGCUCCUGCCUGCACUGCGGGGUGCUGGGCACGGCCCCGGCUCGGCCCCCGGCUCGCUCCAGCCCUUGGGAUCACAGGUCCCUGCUGGAGCCUGGCCGGGGGGGACAGGGCAGAUUGCAGCCGGCUUGUUCAUCCCUGCGCAGGGCUGGUGCCUCCCUGCCGUGCCCCUGCCCAGGGGGGACAGGGCUCGGCCCCGCUCCCGGCAGCGCGGCCGCCCUGGGUCGGCUCCUCUCCCUCCCCUUCCUCCCCCCGCGCUCGCCGGCGGCCGUGGUGGGUGGGCUGGCCCCCUGCCCGCUCGCCCGCUCCCAGCUGCGCCGUGCCACACCACUGGGGAUGCAGCCGCGCUCGCACCCCGGAGCGGGAGCAGCGCUCGGCCCCCGGGGCUCCUGCCGCGGUGGCGCGUGACAUCGCCCCUCUGCCGGCUGCUCCGGCGGGGUGCCAGGGCUCAGUGCUGCGGCUGCGGGGCCGGACACACGGGGACGCAAGGUGCUGCGGCCCCCUCCCCGCGCAAGGGACAGGGAAAGGCAGGAACACAGGGCUCCUGCCGGGGACGGGCCUGUGAUGCUGCGUGCACAUGUGUGCACAUGCAUGCGCACACGCACAGCUGGGCACACGCAUACACGUGCAUGCACACACAUGCAGCUGUGCACACGCACACACGCAGCAGCCCCGCCUGCACACCCAGGAGGCAACAAGGAGCCGCCGACGCAUCGAUUGGCACCGCAGCUUCGGCGUGGCCGGGAGCGCAGGGUCCGGCCAUGGGGCGCCCGUCACGUGCAGCCCCUACAGAGGUGCACGGGGCACCUGCCCUUGCCCUGCUGUCCCGUCCCACCGUGGCCUGCCCGGGCAGUCCGGGGAAAUCCGCCCCCCACCGCAGCGCUGGCCUUCCUCCCACCCCUUCCUCUUCCUCCCACACGGAGCAGCCGGCUCACCCCGCUGCAAUGCCCGCGGCGAGGGCUGGUGCACCAAGUCCCUGCGGCGCCAGAGACCCCGCCGGGUCAGCCGGACACGGGGCAUCCGGUGAGGAGAAGCCGAGCAUGACCCGGCAGCCCGUCCUCAGCCUGGGGAGGCGGCGGUGGCCCUGGGGACAGAGGCAGUGGCCCUGGGGACAGGCUGCCCUGGCUCCCCGAAGGUGCAGAGCCGCCGGGCCAGCCCCAGUGCCUGCACACCCAGCCGGCUGCACGCGUGGGCGCCACGCGGGCCGGCAAGGUGCGAGCGGUGCCGGGGAGCCGCGCGAGCGUCUGAGCCCUCCCGGGCUGGCCGGGCUCCACGGGCCGGGCGCUGCCGAUGGGAACGGGGUGCUGCCAAUGGGAAGGGGGCGCUGCCGAUGGGAAGGGGGUGCCCACUUGCUGUCGGGCUGCUGCUAGCCCGGAGCCAGGGCUGUGGCUGGGAAUCAGUAACGCGGAGCGGCUCGCGGGGCCGGGAGCCACCGGGACGAGGGGAUGGCACAGGGCAGCCGGGAGCAGAGCAGAGCGGGGCUGGGGCUCCCCGGGACACCCCACGCCGGGGCCCUGCAGCCCCCGCGGCCCGUGGGGACCGGGGCGACGCUCGGCUCCCGGGGCUCAGACAGGAAGGAGACGUCAGCGCGGCGGAGCGUAACUCGAACCAGAUGGGGCCGCGCUCUUUUCCAGGACCGCAGGGUGGUCACCGACAGGAACUGGUCAAAGGCUGCCGGCAGGAAACGGGCUGGGAGGGAACUCCCUCGGCCGCCGCCGGAGCAGGCGCCCCGGCCUGGGCAGCGUUAACCGCUUCGGGGCCGCGGGGA
This 2129-nucleotide long non-coding RNA is filed under the name Apteryx haastii (Great spotted kiwi). RNAcentral's name for it is "lncRNA (ENSAHAG00000012624.1)". Lineage: Eukaryota; Metazoa; Chordata; Aves; Apterygiformes; Apterygidae. The record is from RNAcentral.